Molecule: ribosomal RNA, 421 nt
Filed under: uncultured bacterium
Lineage: Bacteria
Description: bacterial SSU rRNA
Rfam family: Bacterial small subunit ribosomal RNA
Source: RNAcentral
GGGCCCGCACAAGCGGUGGAGCAUGUGGUUUAAUUCGAUGAUACGCGAGGAACCUUACCAGGGCUUAAAUGUAAGUUGCAUGGAUCAGAGAUGGUCCUUUCUUCGGACUACUUACAAGGUGCUGCAUGGUUGUCGUCAGCUCGUGCCGUGAGGUGUCAGGUUAAGUCCUAUAACGAGCGCAACCCCUAUCGUUAGUUGCCAACAGGUUAAGCUGGGAACUCUAACGAGACUGCCGGUGCAAACCGCGAGGAAGGUGGGGAUGACGUCAAAUCAUCACGGCCCUUACGUCCUGGGCCACACACGUGCUACAAUGGCCGGUACAGAGAGCAGCCACUCCGCGAGGAGGAGCGAAUCUAUAAAACCGGUCUCAGUUCGGAUCGCAGUCUGCAACUCGACUGCGUGAAGCUGGAAUCGCUAGUAA